This 451-nucleotide ribosomal RNA is filed under the name uncultured bacterium. RNAcentral's name for it is "partial 16S ribosomal RNA". It matches the Rfam family "Bacterial small subunit ribosomal RNA", at positions 28 to 523 of the family's 1533-position model. The record is from RNAcentral.
GACGAACGCUGGCGGCGUGCCUAAUACAUGCAAGUCGAACGCCUGUAGCAAUACAGGAGUGGCAGACGGGUGAGUAACACGUGGGAACGUGCCCAAAGGUACGGAACAACUCCGGGAAACUGGAGCUAAUACCGUAUGUGCCCGAGAGGGGAAAGAUUUAUCGCCUUUGGAUCGGCCCGCGUCUGAUUAGCUAGUUGGUGGGGUAAUGGCCUACCAAGGCGACGAUCAGUAGCUGGUCUGAGAGGAUGGCCAGCCACACUGGGACUGAGACACGGCCCAGACUCCUACGGGAGGCAGCAGUGGGGAAUAUUGGACAAUGGGCGCAAGCCUGAUCCAGCCAUGCCGCGUGAGUGAUGAAGGCCUUAGGGUUGUAAAGCUCUUUCGCCAGGGACGAUAAUGACGGUACCUGGAUAAGAAGCCCCGGCUAACUUCGUGCCAGCCGCCGCAGUAA